Molecule: ribosomal RNA, 690 nt
Filed under: Triticum aestivum (bread wheat)
Lineage: Eukaryota; Viridiplantae; Streptophyta; Magnoliopsida; Poales; Poaceae
Description: partial small subunit ribosomal RNA
Source: RNAcentral
AUGACAAGGAGAGUUCAAGAAAACAGAGAUAAAUCUGAGAAGUGGACUAAUAAUCCAAUUUGCCCAAACAUAUUCAAAAAACUUAAGGUCAACAUCAAAUUAACUCAGUUCUGUGAUGUGCUUUGGAAUGGGAAAGAAGGAUUUGAGGUUAAACAUGUUAGUGGAAGAGGAAGGACCUACACUGUCAAUUUAGAUAAGAGAACAUGCUCCUGUGGGUAUCUACAGCUGGCAGGUCUACCUUGCUGCCAUGCUAUCAGUGUUAUUUAUAAGAGUGGCAGAAGAAUUGAAGAGUUCAUUGACAAGUGCUAUUCAGUUGACCAAUUCAAGAAAAUAUAUGAGCACUGCUUGGAGCCAGUUGAAGGUGAGGAAAGGUGGCCUAUUUCUCAGAAUCCUAGACCACAAGCUCCAGGUUAUGUGAGCAUGCCCGGUAGACCUAGGAAAAAUGAUAGGAGGAGGGAAGAGGGAGAAGCACCAAAAGGAAAGAAGAUGUCAAGACAUGGGAUUAAAAUUACUUGUAGUAUGUGUGGGAAUAAAGAUCACAAUAAGUCAGGUUGCCACAAAAAUCCAGAAAAAGGCAAGAAAAAGAAUGCCUUUCUGAGAAAACCAGGGAGGAAAAUGAAGACCUCUGAGGUAUAUAAUUUUGCAUUUCUACUAUUUCAUAUACUACUGCAUUUCUUCAGUUUCAUAUAA